UAUGGCAGAUAAUAUGU
Molecule: transfer RNA, 17 nt
Filed under: Heterosais edessa
Lineage: Eukaryota; Metazoa; Arthropoda; Insecta; Lepidoptera; Nymphalidae
Description: partial tRNA-Leu
Source: RNAcentral